CCUACGGGUGGCAGCAGUGAGGAAUAUUGGUCAAUGGGCGCGAGCCUGAACCAGCCAUGCCGCGUGCAGGAAGACGGCUCUAUGAGUUGUAAACUGCUUUUGUACGAGGGUAAACGCAGAUACGUGUAUCUGUCUGAAAGUAUCUUACGAAUAAGGAUCGGCUAACUCCGUGCCAGCAGCCGCGGUAAUACGGAGGAUUCAAGCGUUAUCCGGAUUUAUUGGGUUUAAAGGGUGCGUAGGCGGUCGGAUAAGUUAGAGGUGAAAUCCCGAGGCUCAACUUCGGAAUUGCCUCUGAUACUGUUCGGCUAGAGAGUAGUAACGGUAGGCGGAAUGUAUGGUGUAGCGGUGAAAUGCUUAGAGAUCAUACAGAACACCGAUUGCGAAGGCAGCUUACCAAGCUACUUCUGACGUUGAGGCACGAAAGCGUGGGGAGCAAACAGGAUUAGAUACCCUUGUAGUC
Molecule: ribosomal RNA, 460 nt
Filed under: uncultured bacterium
Lineage: Bacteria
Description: partial 16S ribosomal RNA
Rfam family: Bacterial small subunit ribosomal RNA
Source: RNAcentral